This 253-nucleotide ribosomal RNA is filed under the name uncultured bacterium. RNAcentral's name for it is "partial 16S ribosomal RNA". It matches the Rfam family "Bacterial small subunit ribosomal RNA", at positions 524 to 776 of the family's 1533-position model. The record is from RNAcentral.
UACGUAGGUGGCAAGCGUUGUCCGGAUUUAUUGGGCGUAAAGCGCGCGCAGGUGGUGCGGUAAGUCUGCCGUGAAAUCUCCCGGCUCAACUGGGAGGGGGCGGUGGAGACUGCCGGACUGGAGGGACUCAGAGGCCGGUGGAAUUCCCGGUGUAGUGGUGAAAUGCGUAGAGAUCGGGAGGAACACCAGUGGCGAAGGCGGCCGGCUGGGGGUGCCCUGACGCUGAGGCGGCGAAAGCGUGGGAGCGAACCGG